UGCAAGUCGAGCGCCCCGCAAGGGGAGCGGCAGACGGGAGAGUAACACGUGGGAACGUGCCCUUUGGUUCGGAACAACACAGGGAAACUUGUGCUAAUACCGGAUAAGCCCUUACGGGGAAAGAUUUAUCGCCAAAGGAUCGGCCCGCGUCUGAUUAGCUUGUUGGUGAGGUAACGGCUCACCAAGGCGACGAUCAGUAGCUGGUCUGAGAGGAUGAUCAGCCUCACUGGGACUGAGACACGGCCCAGACUCCUACGGGAGGCAGCAGUGGGGAAUAUUGGACAAUGGACGCAAGUCUGAUCCAGCCAUGCCGCGUGGAUGAUGAAGGCCCUAGGGUUGUAAAGUCCUUUCGGCGGGGAAGAUAAUGACGGUACCCGCAGAAGAAGCCCCGGCUAACUUCGUGCCAGCAGCCGCGGUAAUACGAAGGGGGCUAGCGUUGCUCGGAAUCACUGGGCGUAAAGCGCACGUAGGCGGCUUUCUAAGUCAGGGGUGAAAUCCUG
This 500-nucleotide ribosomal RNA is filed under the name uncultured bacterium. RNAcentral's name for it is "bacterial SSU rRNA". It matches the Rfam family "Bacterial small subunit ribosomal RNA", at positions 56 to 604 of the family's 1533-position model. The record is from RNAcentral.